RNAcentral lists this unclassified non-coding RNA (186 nucleotides) under uncultured fungus. RNAcentral's name for it is "sequence contains ITS1, 5.8S rRNA gene". Lineage: Eukaryota; Fungi. The record is from RNAcentral.
CCUAGCGAACGCCUACCUGGGCCAGAUCUUUAGGUCUGCGCCCAAGUAGGGGUAUCCACAACCCGUGUUUACAUACUCUUGUUGCUUUGGCGGGCCGUGGUUUCCCACUACGGGCUCAGCUCGUACGCGCCCGCCAGAGGAUUAAACUCUGAAUAUUAGUGAUGUCUGAGAACUAUAUAAUAGUUA